GGAGAAACGAGGGCAGCUCACGAGCUCUGACUUUGCUCAGGAGCGAAAUGGCCUUGUUUUUCACCUUCCCACCUGGCCCACUUAGGAGGAAAAGCUGCGGAAAAUUCGCUGCUCAGUUUACAGUCCCAAGAACAUGAAAACGCUCCUCUGCCAGCAUCAAAAAAAAGAAGAUGGAUGUUGUUUCUGGGAGAAGGAAGGAAUGUCGUACGGUGGCUCGGGCAGGAGACGUACAGGGACAUGGCUGUGGGCAGCUUCAGGUUCUUGCUUUCAUGUGACCGGAGAGAAGAGGACUCUUCUUCCUGUUUCAAUAAUAACAAUAAUAUCCCAGGAAGGACUGGACUUGACUUGGCUAAAUGCCCAUCUGGGAGCAAAUCACUGUGGCCAAGAAGAUGGCAUGGGAGAUUGGAUCCCACUGGAGUUGCAUGUCCACUCCUCACCAACUAAGGCGCUGGAGGAGGGAUGUAGUAAGAGAAAGGCAGCUGGUCUCUGGGCCACCCAGAAGAGGACAUGUGGGGGAGGGAAAGUUUUCCUGAGAAAAGGCAGGCUAAGGCAACCCUGGGAAAUGCUGUGUAGGCAGCAACUCUCCUUUGUGUUUCCUGUCCUUCCUUUUCUGAAACUCUUAGUUGUUGCUACUUUGGCUUGUUCCUUGCUAUCCCUAUGUGAUGUUCAUUCUCACAUUUGGCCUCCUGGGCUUCCCACCCAUCUGCUCCUCCAUUUUGGACUUAUCCCCAGCUUGGGAUCAAGUCCAAGAGGCCUGUGUUGACCAUUGCAGGUCUGAGCCAUCUCUUCUCUGAGCUCCCACCUCCUUGACUCUGCAGCUGCCCUUGGCCUUGGAGACUUUAGCUCUUCAUGUAGGUCUUGCCUUCUCCCAAGACUGGAAGCUCCUUGAAAACAAGAAUCCAAAUCUUCUUAAUAUUCUCAGUGGUGCCCAAUACUAUGUGAGUUCUCAAUAAAUGCCAGGAAAUGAA
RNAcentral lists this long non-coding RNA (968 nucleotides) under Dasypus novemcinctus (nine-banded armadillo). Its description in RNAcentral is "lncRNA (ENSDNOG00000052713.1)". The record is from RNAcentral. Lineage: Eukaryota; Metazoa; Chordata; Mammalia; Cingulata; Dasypodidae.